GAUGAACGCUGGCGGUAUGCUUAACACAUGCAAGUCGAACGGACUCUUCGGAGUUAGUGGCGGACGGGUGAGUAACGCGUGAGAAUCUGGCUUUGGGUUCGGGACACCCACUGGACACGGUGGCUAAUACCGGAUGUGCCGAGAGGUAAAAGAGAAAUUGCCUGAAGAUGAGCUCGCGUCUGAUUAGCUAGUUGGUGAGGUAAAGGCUCACCAAGGCAGCGAUCAGUAGCUGGUCUGAGAGGAUGACCGGCCACACUGGGACUGAGACACGGCCCAGACUCCUACGGGAGGCAGCAGUGGGGAAUUUUCCGCAAUGGGCGAAAGACUGACGGAGCAAUACCGCGUGAGGGAAGAAGGCUCUUGGGUUGUAAACCUCUGUUCUUAGGGAAGAACAAAAUGACGGUACCUAAGGAAUCAGCAUCGGCUAACUCCGUG
Molecule: ribosomal RNA, 435 nt
Filed under: uncultured bacterium
Lineage: Bacteria
Description: partial 16S ribosomal RNA
Rfam family: Bacterial small subunit ribosomal RNA
Source: RNAcentral